This 1239-nucleotide ribosomal RNA is filed under the name Pseudomonas sp. HMSC066B11. Its description in RNAcentral is "bacterial LSU rRNA". It matches the Rfam family "Bacterial large subunit ribosomal RNA", at positions 1720 to 2925 of the family's 2925-position model. The record is from RNAcentral. Lineage: Bacteria; Pseudomonadati; Pseudomonadota; Gammaproteobacteria; Pseudomonadales; Pseudomonadaceae.
AAAUGGCACCGUAACUUCGGGAGAAGGUGCGCCGGCUAGGGUGAAGGAUUUACUCCGUAAGCUCUGGCUGGUCGAAGAUACCAGGCCGCUGCGACUGUUUAUUAAAAACACAGCACUCUGCAAACACGAAAGUGGACGUAUAGGGUGUGACGCCUGCCCGGUGCCGGAAGGUUAAUUGAUGGGGUUAGCGCAAGCGAAGCUCUUGAUCGAAGCCCCGGUAAACGGCGGCCGUAACUAUAACGGUCCUAAGGUAGCGAAAUUCCUUGUCGGGUAAGUUCCGACCUGCACGAAUGGCGUAACGAUGGCGGCGCUGUCUCCACCCGAGACUCAGUGAAAUUGAAAUCGCUGUGAAGAUGCAGUGUAUCCGCGGCUAGACGGAAAGACCCCGUGAACCUUUACUGUAGCUUUGCACUGGACUUUGAGCCUGCUUGUGUAGGAUAGGUGGGAGGCUUUGAAGCGUGGACGCCAGUUCGCGUGGAGCCAUCCUUGAAAUACCACCCUGGCAUGCUUGAGGUUCUAACUCUGGUCCGUGAUCCGGAUCGAGGACAGUGUAUGGUGGGCAGUUUGACUGGGGCGGUCUCCUCCUAAAGAGUAACGGAGGAGUACGAAGGUGCGCUCAGACCGGUCGGAAAUCGGUCGCAGAGUAUAAAGGCAAAAGCGCGCUUGACUGCGAGACAGACACGUCGAGCAGGUACGAAAGUAGGUCUUAGUGAUCCGGUGGUUCUGUAUGGAAGGGCCAUCGCUCAACGGAUAAAAGGUACUCCGGGGAUAACAGGCUGAUACCGCCCAAGAGUUCAUAUCGACGGCGGUGUUUGGCACCUCGAUGUCGGCUCAUCACAUCCUGGGGCUGAAGCCGGUCCCAAGGGUAUGGCUGUUCGCCAUUUAAAGUGGUACGCGAGCUGGGUUUAGAACGUCGUGAGACAGUUCGGUCCCUAUCUGCCGUGGACGUUUGAGAUUUGAGAGGGGCUGCUCCUAGUACGAGAGGACCGGAGUGGACGAACCUCUGGUGUUCCGGUUGUCACGCCAGUGGCAUUGCCGGGUAGCUAUGUUCGGAAAAGAUAACCGCUGAAAGCAUCUAAGCGGGAAACUUGCCUCAAGAUGAGAUCUCACUGGGAACUUGAUUCCCCUGAAGGGCCGUCGAAGACUACGACGUUGAUAGGCUGGGUGUGUAAGCGUUGUGAGGCGUUGAGCUAACCAGUACUAAUUGCCCGUGAGGCUUGACCAUAUAACACCCAAACA